RNAcentral lists this long non-coding RNA (6628 nucleotides) under Homo sapiens (human). Its description in RNAcentral is "HSALNT0338569". The record is from RNAcentral. Lineage: Eukaryota; Metazoa; Chordata; Mammalia; Primates; Hominidae.
UUCUUCAGGGGGCAGUUGCCGGUGUUCUCGUGCUCACUGUGGUCUUGAAGGAAUGCUUUUUCUUUCAGUGUAACUUGUUUAAACCUGUCAAUAAUUAACUUGCUCAUGAAGCAACAACCGUUUAAUGUAGCUUGUAAUUACACACUCUUUUUUUGUUUUUGCUACUUUUGUGCUGCAAAUUCUUAAGCUUCAUAAAAACAUAAGCCUUCUGUAUGCUUCUUAUUUAAGAAAACAGCCAUGAUAUUUCAUCCUGCUGGGUAUAAUAUGGUGAAGGUUGCUUUAAAUAUGAUAACUGCCGCUAUGUAACUUGCUGAAGACAUGGACAAGAAUAUCUAUGAUGUAACCUGUAUUUGGCCCCAUUAGGUGGUUUUAACUACAGCCUUUCUCUAAGACCUGUUUUUUCUAAAAGUGAACAUAAAAAUGACACUUUUAAAAGUACUUAGGAUAUUUUACUAUUUUAUUUAAAAAUAAAUGGUUAAUUAAUGCCUUAAGUAUGUUCAAGUUUAUGCUUUUAGACAAUGUACUGAUUUAAAGUUUUAAAAUCUUAAAAUCUUAGCUUAAAACAUAAGAUUCCUAUGCCCUAAAAAUGAGAUGGUAAAGACUGUUUAUUAACAUGCCUUCUCACUGUUUAGAGAGUCAGUUUCUCGCAUAAACUGUAAUUUAGUCCUUUGAAGACUUUGAGACCUUCUCUUGUGUUCUUUAAUGGUCUAAUUAUGACCAUGUGGGAAACACCUAGUCAAACAAAUGAAGUCAGGAAAUUCCGGGUUCCUUUUUAGUCAGUUCCAAAGACCUAUUGUGCUUACAUUUCUUCCACGGAGAUGCCAGAAACAUCUUUCCACUAAGUUGUAUGAAGUGACACUGCCCCUCAUGGCUUCUUAUGAAUUUGGAAACAAUAUAUUUGUGUAUCAAAAGCAAAAUAGUAAAUUAUAUAAAAGAAUACUAUUUUUACCUGGUUUAUAAUUUUGGCCUAAGUGCUGAUUUCUUGGAUUGGCUGAAAUACUGAAUUCAAGUACAACAUUAAAAUAACAUAAUAGGAACAUAAAAUGUUGAUCCUCUAAAGAGCCAUCAUAGAAAAUGAUAAUUUGUAGAGUUUACCUGGAUGUAGAAUAUUGGCUGUGGGGUAGCCCAGAGGUUCACACUGCCCCAGGCUUGCCCCAUCUCUCUCAGUGGAAUCUUAAGUGAUCCAGACCCAUCCCCUGCACAGGCCAGGACUCUGGGGAGCUUUGUCAGGAGUGUCAGGCUCACCUCCAGUGGUCUCUUGUGCCUGAAAAUCUGCUGAGUCGCACACCGCUUUGCGAGGCUAAGGAGAGUUGUGCACUCUACCCUGGUGAAAUUCACACACCUGCAAAUGUCGCGUGCGGUCUUUGGGGGUUUAUGGGCUUCCUGCAUCCCAUCUGUGGGACCACCUUCGUUCCCUUCAUUUUAUGGAGAGGGAAGAGAUAGAUGUGGUCUGUUGGGUUUGUAUUUUAUACAAAGCAUAAACGAAACCCAGAGCUGGAACUACAGCCUUGCUCAUAGAUAUCAAGCUCAGUUACCUUGCUCACAGCACCAAACCUGCUGGGGGUAACUUACCAUGGACUUCCAAGGUUGCUGAAUGUAGAAUUCAUAUACAAAGUGAAUUUUAGAACUGAUUAUUUCACAAUUAAGGUAAUUCCUACCCAAGAAGAGAGAUCUUUAGAAUGUUUUUAAAACCCAAGCCUGGAUUUACUUAUCUGACUAGAAGUAAAGCAGUUGAAAAACCCAGAGGAGAGCAGCGAGCGGGCAGAGUGUCAACAGAAGUAUGCCUGAUGACUGAAAUACUUCUGGGCUCUGAGGUCAUUUCAGCCACUUAUUGUUCUAAAAUCACCAGCCAGAGAACCCAGGCUAGGUUUUCUUACCUGAGAACAAUAGGGUUGGAUUCAUGAUGAUUUGGCCAGCAUAUCUUUCUUCCUCCUGCUCUUUUUUUUUUGGAUUGUGUUUUAAUGAUGUCUUUAUGCUGUUUAUCACGUUGUACUCCCACACGCACUCAGGGUUUGCUACUGGAAUGUUUGAAGCCUAGGCUCCGCCUGACCGAGCCUCCCUGUGCGUGUGGGGAGACUACCUACACUUCUAUAAGCCCUCUUCUGAAAAGGUGCAGUAAAAGAAUUAGAGAAGACAUUUGGGGAGCAGUCUUUUCCUUGUUGCCAUUUCUCAUCGGAUGUACAAAGCAACUUAUAGGAUACAAGAUCUAAAUCUUCUGCCAGUGUGUGCUACACGUUGGGUACCCUCUGAUACGCUGAAAUUGCAUUGAAGGGCACAAAGGCUGGACAUAGCAGUGUGGGCGCUGUACUGCAGAUGUUCUCAGGGGCCUCCAGACGGGGAAAAGUGCAUUUAAAAAUUUACCUCUGGUAUUUAAGUGUGGUUAAUUAAAUUCCAAAAUUGUACUUAAUGAAAUUUGUAAUUCCUGAUGUCUUUGGAAUCUGUAACUGCUUUUCAGAAGACCUCUGCCUCAACUUUUCUUUAAAGAAACUGGUUUGUUAAAUGAGGAAUGAGUAAUCCUGAAUAAUUAGUUUUGCAGAGAAUAAAUGGACUAAAAUGCAAUAAUAUCUUUUCAAAUACCAUAUUUAGGUACCUUUAAGCAAGUAAUCCUUAAAACUAUUUAGCCUUUCUGGAGUUAUCUAUAAUAUUGUGUUCUCAAUUUUAAUGGCUCUUUUGCUUUUCUUUUUUUUUUCUUUUGGUUGGAAAUCAGGAUGUGUAAUGUUAGCAUGUAAAUUAUAGUAUGGUAAAAUCUUGUUUUUGCCAUAUUAUCUGCAUAAUUGUAAAUGUGUUGCUAGUACCUAUCAUUACUCAUAACAAACAUACUAUGAAAAUCUACAUUAUUGGUGCAGCACUAUCCGAUAGAAAUAUAAUAUGAGCUACAUGGGGAAUUUUCAGUUUUCUGCUAGCUGUGUUUUUUUAAAAAGUGAAGUUAAUUUUAAUACCAUAUUUUAUAUUAUCUAAUACAUCAGAAAUGUUAUUUCAACAUGCAGUCAAUAUAAAAAUCAUCAAUGAGAUAGUUCACAUUCUUUUUUCCAUACUAAGUCUCUGCAUUUCCAUAUUUCAGUUUGGAUGAGCCACACUUUCAGUGCUCUGUCACCACCUGUGGCCUGCCUACUGCCAUACUGAACAGCACAGUGUUUAAUGCCGUUUCACUAGUAUUCUUGGAACUGUUUCUACAUUUCUGUGAUUGUUUUUGGUUGGUAGCUAACACUUGAAUGUUCUACAUGCUGACACACAGCAGCAAAGAACAUAGAGCUUCUAGGCCUGGCUGUUCUUUCUUAGUUGGAAAAGAAAUAGAAUUACCAUAAAAUGAAUUUUAAUUGUGUGCGCAUGUAAAUAUAAAGACACUAAUUAUUUUAAUAAAUUUUGAGUUCAGCCUUAAUAGACUACAUAGAUUGUCCAUUAUUGUUUAGAAAUAAGACCUAAAUUAAGUGGUUUAAUAUUUCUGAAAUUAAUAAAUUGUUUCAUACAGUUUUUUUUUUAACCGUAGGCAGUACAAUUCUCAUUUAUUCAAAUGAAGGGGGGUAGGUAGUGAGAGCUCCAUAAUGUUAAGGAAUUGUUAUGGCUCGACAGACGACAGUUUGCUGAGGCAUCUGACCAGCAGCAGAGGCAGGGAUGCAGCAGAGUUUCUUUACUCUGCUCUUCCCCCAGUCAGGGUGCACAUUCCAGUCCUGCACUGCCAUAGCCAGACUGAGAAACCUUGGACAAGUGGACACCUUGUAGUUGGACAGAGACUGUGGUGGUUCGGGUUGAAGGUAAUUGCCCAUAUUGAUGUGAUACAAAUAGACAUUUCCUAGAGUUCUUUCAUCUCUGGGUAAUCAUCUCUAAUUUUGUUUUGCUAAGAUAAUUACCAGUAGAACUGUAAUUUCUCCAUUCAGCAGUUGUAGUUAGAAUUUUUAUGAUCAGUUUAUGACUGUGAGCUGCACCUGAAGUAUAAGUAGGAUCCAAAUAACCAGAGGUGAUAGGAGGGAAGGGCAUGUGAACAGGGCCAGUGGGUCUGCAGGAAAGGAGUGUGUACAGAAGGUGCAGGGUCAGUGGACAGGGAAUGUGUCCACGGAAAUGUCCAUGAAGCAGAGCAGUCCGUGAAGUGGAGGCCCGAAUGCCGACCAAAAUGUGGAUACCUGUUACAUUAUCUAGAUCCGUAUUCUUUACUUGCACAUUGUUUUGUCUUCUGUGUCUAAGAGUAUUUUCAAAAUAUAUUUCGUGAUGCAUUGUCUUGACUUUUGAUCAAAUUCCAUUUUUAUGAUCAACCUUGAAUAGACCUUUUAGAUUUUAAUGGGUGUUUUGAAUUGAGGUCUCUAAUAAUCAUGAAUGCUUUUUAAAAUUUUUUUGUAGAGACAGGAUCUCGCCAUGUUGCCUAGGCUGGUUGUGAACUCUUGGCCUCAAGCAGUCCUCCCGCCACAGCCUCCCAAAGUGUUGGGAUGACUCCCACCAUGCCUGGCCCUAUCAUGAAUGCUUAUUUCCUUAAAUGAAAACCUCCUUUUGUGACAAACAGAUUUUAUAAAUUCAGUUUACUUGGAAUUAAAAGAAGUGGUUAUUACUUAGAAUUCAGAUAAAUUCUGAAUAUAUAAGAAAAUAGAAUGUGUCUUAUUUGUGCCUUUCCUGACAAUCAUGGAUUUGAGUUCCCUUCCUAAAAGGGCACAUUGGGUGCCAGAGCCUGAAGUGCUUUUGUAUCUAUCUUUCUAAACUAGUAAUUUUACAGUUUUAUUGCUAACCCAUAUAUAAUGGGCAUAUCGGUUGCUUCUUAACUUACUAUUUAUUCAGUAAAAUUACAGACCUCCUCAUCGUAGGUUUUUAAAAUAGGAAAUUGGCCAAAUUCCUUAUCGAUCAAUGUUGGUAAACUAUAAGUCAACCUAAUUGAGAAGCUCUUCUGGAAGGGAUAGAGCUCCUUAUAUUCAAGAAGCUUCUAAUGGAGUUGGAGGAAGGAGCCAUUUGCAGAGGUAGCUGUAAUGCAGGACACAGUGACUCACUGCUCAAAGAGAACAAAGAGAAUCCAAUGUGAUGAGAACAUAAGUGAAUGAUGAUACCUUCCCUGACACUGGGAAGGUGAGUGGGCUGGCAGGUGAGCCUCGGAGGUGAAUGGAGAGGAUUUGGGCAUAUAUCUUGCAUCAGAAAGACACUUGGUGUAGAGAGAACAUCAACCAAGUCAUGAACAUGAGUCAGAUAGAAUGGGAAGAGGUGAGGGGCGAUUUGGGUGGAGAAUGACGAGAGAGGUUCAUGGAGCUGUGAAUAACUUAUGCAGGAAGCUGCUGUGAAUUUUUACAGCAGCUGGCAGUUACAAGAGUCUGGUCAGCAUAGUGUGAGCUGAGCUGUGCUUCAGGAAAUGUGAUUGGAUUUAGAGAGACCAGAAGAUCAGUCAUGAGGAGAGCUUCCUCAUUUUGCCAGAAUUUGUCUGAAAUUUAUAAUGUAAACUUCAACCUAUUUAAAGAUAGGGAGUGCAGUCAAAAUAUCAGUAGUACAUGAUCAGUUUUGCUUCAGGAUUUAAAUUUAGGCAUUAAAUUUUCUAUUGCAUAUAGUAUGAUAAAUUACCUACCUUAAAAUGGUAGAGGAUUUCGGGUUCUUUAAAUGCCAUGUGCUGUUCAUGUGGAGUCCACAUGUUCAGCUUGCACGUUGGCUGUCUGCUUGUAUAGGGUGGCUAGGAAGGAAAAGAGCCUAGUGGUUGCCCUCAGGUAUGUGAUUACUGCUCUGAAUGAAGGAGUUGAAACAUGGAGUAACAGGUGCCACAAAACUGAAGUUUAUUGUGAAACUGGAACAAAGACAUCUUCCAAAAAUGAAAAUUGGGAGUGGCAGAAGAGCUGACUGGCAGGCAGCACCAACUGUGUGUGCAGGGGCUUGGGUUUUAGGGAGAAAUGAAACAGUCCUGUUUUCAUUUCUGAUAUCAUUCUAUUUUAUGAUUUUAAAAAGGGAGUUUUGUUAUUACAGUUUGUCUAAGUAACUGUCAUUUUUUUGGUCUGUAUUAAUUGUGAUCAUGUAAAACAUACCAGAAAUGGAGGAAGGAGGCUUGAUUUAUUGUUCUAAAAUAUAUAUUUGGUAUUUCCUUGUUUAUAAUAGUGUCACUAAAAAUGCUGUAUUACUAAUAUUAUUGCUAAACAUUUUUCUUGUCAGAGAUGAUAAUAAUUGGUUAUCUUAGUAAAGGGAUGAUUUUUAUUCUUUACAAGGUCAGUAUUACAUUAACCGGAAGAUAAUGCCAUGUGAAAAUGUCGUGAGGUGCCCAUUCUCACUGACAGUUGGCAUUCUGAUGUUCAGUAAUCAUUGCUUUUCUGUAGUCAGGUGGAAAGCAGAGGAAAAAAUAAGUAGUGCUUGUAGAACUUUUUAAAAACUGACCUAGGGUACCAGCUGGAAGGGAAUAGGCAUGCAGCAUUUUCAGGAAAAGAAGAAGAAGGACUAUCAGCGCUCCAACUAAAAUUAUUAGUGGAUGACCACAGAUAAACUCUGCUGAAGAAUAGAAGAAGCUCCCAAACGGCAAAGGUGUUUGUCUGGUUUGUUCAUUGAUGUGUACGUGGAGCUUAGGACAAUACAGGCGCUCGAUGGAUAUUUGUUCCGUGAAUGAAAUUGUCGUUUAAACAGCCAAGUUGUAGAAUUAAAGUUAUUCAUGAAUCACAUAAAAUUAUUAAAUGUGUGAAAAAAUUCA